Molecule: long non-coding RNA, 425 nt
Organism: Gallus gallus (chicken)
Lineage: Eukaryota; Metazoa; Chordata; Aves; Galliformes; Phasianidae
Source: Ensembl
UAGACGUAGAGUUGAAAUCAGUCUCCAUGGGCCGUGCACUGAAAGUACAGUGAACAGAAAGACACAUCAUACUGUUCAGAACCCAAUCUGAAAACUGACAAACUGCAAACCUCAUUAAACACGGGCUCUCUGUUGUAGGAGGGGACCACAUGUCCUGGCACACAUCCACACACUGCGAAGGGCCUGGGGGAAAGGUCUCUCAUUGGGAAGGGACUGGAUAUUUGCUUUCUGGUUCACUUUACUCCAUUUCUGGCUGCUCAGCAUGCCCCAGACAAUGAUGCAGAAGGUCAGUGAUGGUAAUGCAAGGAGUCAUUUGAGGAAUCUGAAGAGAGAACAGAAAGCUGAUGACAACUCUAAGAUACCUGACCUGCUCUAGGAUUACAAGAGCCCCCAUUCCUGUUACACGACAGAGGUCAGAAUUUACU